CAAAAACAUGUCUUUUAGAAAAUAAUUUAAAGUCUAAUCUGCCCACUGAUAUUAUAUUAAAGGGCUGCAGUAUAUUGACUGUACAAAGGUAGCAUAAUCAUUAGUCUUUUAAUUGAAGACUUGUAUGAAAGAUUUGAUGAAAUAUAAACUGUCUCUAAUUUAAAAAUAGAAAUUAAUUUUUUAGUUAAAAAGCUAAAAUUUAUUUAAAAGACGAGAAGACCCUAUAGAGUUUUACAUUAUUUUUAUUUAAGAUUAUAUGUAUAAAUAAUAAUUAAAAAUAAAAAUGAUGUUUUAUUGGGGUGAUAGAAAAAUUUAAUUAACUUUUUUUAAAAAUUAAACAUAAAUAAGUGAAAAUAUGAUCCAUAAGUUAUGAUUAUAAGAAAAAAUUACCUUAGGGAUAACAGCGUAAUAUUUUUUUUUAGUACAAAUAAAAAAAAAAGUUUGCGACCUCGAUGUUGGAUUAAGAUAAAAUUUAAAUGCAAAAGUUUAAAAUUUUGAUCUGUUCGAUCAUUAAAAUCUUACAUGAUCUGAGU
This is a ribosomal RNA of 533 nucleotides. It matches the Rfam family "Bacterial large subunit ribosomal RNA", at positions 1808 to 2610 of the family's 2925-position model.